Molecule: long non-coding RNA, 2932 nt
Filed under: Mytilus galloprovincialis (Mediterranean mussel)
Lineage: Eukaryota; Metazoa; Mollusca; Bivalvia; Mytilida; Mytilidae
Source: RNAcentral
UAGGUUGUCUGAUGCAUCCGGACAAAUGACAAUGUCUUUAGAAAAGACAGGUCAUAUGGAACAGAAUGACUUAAAAUAAGAUGUAAGUACAACGUUAAAAAGUAAAUUAUUGAACCAAAUUAUCUGCUUAAUUGAAUGUCAUUUUUUUCAAAACUAUGAUAUAUAACUGCUGCCAUUUCCGGUUAAUCGUUGAGGUGUGCUCAUUUCCUUAAUUCCUAUCAUAGGACAGUUUGUCGUCGGCUAAAAAGAAUUCAGUAUUUCAAUCAAUUUCAACCAUUGUAGGAUGUGUUUAUUUUGGAUACACAGAAGGAAUUAUUCGUUUGGAUUGGAAAUUCUACAACAUAUGCUGAGCGUAAAAAUGCUAUAACAUAUGCGCACGUGAGUGAAAAAAAUAAUUAAAGUAAAAUGAAAACUAUUGCUAUGACGAUUUCAUAUGCUAGAAAGAGGUUUUUUUUCUAAAUAAAUGCAUUUACUUUUGUGAAAUAUUCUGUCAAUUCAGUCCUGAUGUUACUUUUCUGCAUUUUAUGACUUGCAUUUUGAACGGCCGGAAUAGACGGCCAUGGUUGAUCAAUUCAAAUGUCGACUUGGUUACAAUUUUUCACUAGUUUUUAUAAGGUAUUUUAGAUAAUACAGACAAUUUUUAAACUUUGAAGGACCAGUUGUUUCCAAGCUGUAGUUGAAAAAUGGUGAUUAUCAUUUAGCGUCAAACAUACUCUCACAUCCAGAAUUUAUUAUGAAUGUACUUACUAAAAAUGCUGAAACCAUUUCUACAGCACAAUAAUGCACGUUAUGAUCAUUACAUAUAAUCAGAUUUUGCAGGACACUGCCACAGGACUUUUUUUUUCCAACUACAUUUUAACAAUUUAUGAUAUGAACUAUAAUGCUUUGAGGUGAAUGCACAUGUGUCUAUGACAAUGUUAUAUGAUGACAUACAAAUAUGUUCAUUUAAAAAGGGGGCAGUUCAAGAUAAGAUAUACCUUUCAAAUCAGGAGAUAACGCUAUCAUAUAAUUAAAAUUAAUGUUUAAACUACAAAGAUGUAAUCAAGGUGGCUUGGCCCUUUAACGGUGUGCAUAUUUUAACGCAUGUUUCAUACGACGAGUGCCAUGGAAACUGUCUGCCAUAAAACUAGCGACUUACCCUGUGUAUCAAAAGUAAUGCUACCAAAGUUAAGUGCAAAAUUGAAACAAAUUACAUGUAUUGACAGCCUUAAUAUUUAAACUAUUGUACAGCUUUCAACAGCUUUCAACAGCUUUAAGGUGGUAUGGGAGUCUACAUUAAAAAUGGUAGAAUUUUUUUUUUUGUUCAUACUUUGCCAAAACGUAUUAUAUAUCAAUAAUCUAUUGAUAUAUGUUCAAAAAUAUCAAAAAAUUGAUAGGUCACCGUGCAUUUUCACAAGCUACAGGUCGUGACAAAAUGACACAUUUUGUAUGGAUUAUACAAGGAAAAUCACCAUUAUGUGAUUAGAAGCUAAACUAAAUGAUAGAAUUGUAAAAUAAAAUACGAGAAGAUAGCUUUUCUAAAAUGCUUUCAGAAUAUCAAUAGAAAAGAUAGGGUCACCGUGCGUUUUUUUCGGCUAAAAUACGAACUAGCAAAUUCCAUGUAGAUUCAUUCAGAAAAUGUACUAUUUCAUAGUUACCUCCCCUUAAAAUGUCAAUUUAUAAAUAUUAAAAUUCAAGCAGAACUAAUCAACACUUGUACAAAUAUUAAUAUUUAUAAGUUAUAAACUUAUAAAUUUGUUCUUUUUAAUGCAAAUUCACAUUAAAUAUCUGCAUUCCUGCAUCAAAUUUUGCUAACUUGAUUGAAAAUCUGGCCCUUAGAUUCUCUAUUUUUAACAAUCCAAGAUGGCGAAAGACACCCAUACCACCUUAAACAGCAGUGAUGAUUCAAAUUAUGCAGAAAACAUGCAAACCUAAAAUAUACAAACAAACCCGACGGUAGUAUUUGCCAAACGCAUUGCAUUAUAAUCCAAAUUAAGGAGAGUAGGCGUGUUUAAUGUAUAUAAUUUUAUAUGACCCAAAAGCGUUUGCCUUCUUCCAAUGUUAUGUCGAAUUGGUUAAUCAAUCGCUUGCAAAGAUUGAUAAUCCAACCAAAAUACAAAUAUUUUACUGACAAAGAAGAACAACGGACAUGAUGACAUAAGCACAUACGCUAAGUGAUUUAAAAUUCAGAUUUUAAAUCCUAUUAUGCACACUUAACUUAGUAUUUCUUUAUGUAAAAAAAACAACCUGAUAGCAGUCUUUGUAGGAUGUAUUUUUUAAGCAAUACUUUUGUGACUGAUAAUACCAUCAGUACUACACAAUAUUAAUAAAUUGUAUUGACAAUCAUUAAAUCACAAUGAAAUAUGGUGUUAAAUGCUAAAUAUACUUUAUUUUUUAAUAAUCAUGUGUGCAGAUGUGAUUGUUUUAUCUAACAUUUGUGGAUGUCACAAAAAAAUAACAAAAUUUCGUUAACUUUUAAUUUUACUUGUAUAACAAGUUAUUAAGAAUGGCCUGUUUAAUGAUUUGCUAGUUCUAUUUACCUUAUGAUAUCAUAUGACUACGUAAUAAUACAUUAAUAAAGCAGCUAAAACUUUACUUAAACAACGUUUAAGGUUCAUCAAUUGGAUUGUUAAUGUGAUAUGCCUGAAUACAUGACUGAAUACACCCUAAAGCUCACUUUCUUGAUUUAAACUCGUUAAUUUUUUUCAGAACUAUUUAAAGAAAACUGAUCAUCCAUUAGUUCCUGUUAGCUGCCUUACUGAAGGGAAAACUACCGAGGCUUUCCAAACUGCUAUAGCCGCUUAGAUAACAAUAUUCAACUCUGUAACAGUUCCAAUAUUGCAAUAUGUCAAAAGAAAAAUAAAGUUACCUACCUUACAUAAUCAUAGUACUUUCACGGUUUCAUAAAUUGUACAAAACAUGUUGCGAGAUGUCAUUUUUAUUUUUACACCAG